CGGGNGGUAGUAACACGUGGAUAACCUACCUAUAAGACUGGGAUAACUUCGGGAAACCGGAGCUAAUACCGGAUAAUAUAUUGAACCGCAUGGUUCAAUAGUGAAAGACGGUUUUGCUGUCACUUAUAGAUGGAUCCGCGCCGCAUUAGCUAGUUGGUAAGGUAACGGCUUACCAAGGCAACGAUGCGUAGCCGACCUGAGAGGGUGAUCGGCCACACUGGAACUGAGACACGGUCCAGACUCCUACGGGAGGCAGCAGGC
RNAcentral lists this ribosomal RNA (261 nucleotides) under uncultured Staphylococcus sp. RNAcentral's name for it is "partial 16S ribosomal RNA". It matches the Rfam family "Bacterial small subunit ribosomal RNA", at positions 100 to 354 of the family's 1533-position model. The record is from RNAcentral. Lineage: Bacteria; Bacillati; Bacillota; Bacilli; Caryophanales; Staphylococcaceae.